RNAcentral lists this transfer RNA (63 nucleotides) under Polycarpa mytiligera. RNAcentral describes it as "transfer RNA-Val". The record is from RNAcentral. Lineage: Eukaryota; Metazoa; Chordata; Ascidiacea; Stolidobranchia; Styelidae.
UUAAGGGUAGUAUAAUUAAAUAUAGCAACUUUACAAGUUGCUGAUCCAAAUUUGGUUCUUAAU